UGUGAAACAUUUUGACGAUAGAAACACUAAGAAAGCUAUUUACUGCGUCUAAGAAAAUAUUUGUUGGUUUUAGCCUCUUUUGGGAUAAAAUGGUUAUAAGUGUUGUCUAAACACUUCUAAUCCAUCUCUAACUCUUAUAAUUAGUCGAAUGCAUUGGAUUGUGAUACCUUUUGACCAUAAAAACACUAACAAAGAUAUUUAGUUCUUCUAAGCAAUAUUUUGUUGGUUAUAGCUUCUUUUGAGAGUAAAUGGGUAUAAGUGUUGUCUAAACACUCCUAAUCCAUCGCUAGCUCUUAUAAUUAGUCAAAUGCAUUGGAUUGUGACACAUUUUGACCAUAGAAACACUAACAAAUCUAUUGACUGCUUUUAAGCAAAUUUUGUUGGUUUUAGCCUCUUUUGGGAGAAAAUGGGUAUAAGUGUUAUCUAAACACUCCUAAUCCAUCUCUAAUUCUAUAAUUAGUCAAAUGCAUUCGAUUGUGAAACAUUUUGACCAUGAAAACACUAACAAAGCUAUUUACUGCGUCUAAGCAAAUGUUUGUUGGUUAUAGCUUCUUUUGGGAGAAAAUGGGUAUAAGUGUUCUCUAAACACUCUUAAUCCAUCUCUUACUCUUAUAAUUAGUCAAAUGCAUUGGAUUGUGACACAUUUUGACCAUAGAAACACUAACAAAUCUAUUGACCGCUUCUAAGCAAGUUUUGUUGGUUUUAGCCUCUUUUGGGAGGAAAUGGGUUAUAAGUGUUAUCUAAACACUUCUUGUCCAUCCCUAACUCUUAUAAUUAAUCAAUUGCAAAUUUUUGUUGAUUUUAGCCUCUUUUGACAGAAAAUGAGUAUAAGUGGUGUCUAAACACUCCUAAUCCAUCUCUAACUCUAUAAUUAGUCCAAUGCAUUGGAUUGUGAAACAUUUUGACCAUAGAAACACUAACAAAUCUAUUGACUCCUUCUAUGCAUAUGUUUGGUGGUUUAGCCUCUUUU
This 970-nucleotide small RNA is filed under the name Arabidopsis thaliana (thale cress). RNAcentral describes it as "ATSL036720". Lineage: Eukaryota; Viridiplantae; Streptophyta; Magnoliopsida; Brassicales; Brassicaceae. The record is from RNAcentral.